GUCGAGGGGCAGCAUGGUCUUAGCUUGCUAAGGCCGAUGGCGACCGGCGCACGGGUGAGUAACACGUAUCCAACCUGCCGUCUACUCUUGGACAGCCUUCUGAAAGGAAGAUUAAUACAAGAUGGCAUCAUGAGUCCGCAUGUUCACAUGAUUAAAGGUAUUCCGGUAGACGAUGGGGAUGCGUUCCAUUAGAUAGUAGGCGGGGUAACGGCCCACCUAGUCUUCGAUGGAUAGGGGUUCUGAGAGGAAGGUCCCCCACAUUGGAACUGAGACACGGUCCAAACUCCUACGGGAGGCAGCAGUGAGGAAUAUUGGUCAAUGGGCGAGAGCCUGAACCAGCCAAGUAGCGUGAAGGAUGACUGCCCUAUGGGUUGUAAACUUCUUUUAUAAAGGAAUAAAGUUGGGUAUGGAUACCCGUUUGCAUGUACUUUAUGAAUAAGGAUCGGCUAACUCCGUGCCAGCAGCCGCGGUAAUACGGAGGAUCCGAGCGUUAUCCGGAUUUAUUGGGUUUAAAGGGAGCGUAGAUGGAUGUUUAAGUCAGUUGUGAAAGUUUGCGGCUCAACCGUAAAAUUGCAGUUGAUACUGGAUAUCUUGAGUGCAGUUGAGGCAGGCGGAAUUCGUGGUGUAGCG
This 630-nucleotide ribosomal RNA is filed under the name uncultured bacterium. RNAcentral's name for it is "bacterial SSU rRNA". It matches the Rfam family "Bacterial small subunit ribosomal RNA", at positions 61 to 680 of the family's 1533-position model. The record is from RNAcentral.